This 426-nucleotide ribosomal RNA is filed under the name uncultured prokaryote. RNAcentral describes it as "bacterial SSU rRNA". It matches the Rfam family "Bacterial small subunit ribosomal RNA", at positions 355 to 796 of the family's 1533-position model. The record is from RNAcentral.
CAAGGAAUAUUGGACAAUGGGCGCAAGCCUGAUCCAGCAACGCCGCGUGGAGGAUGAAAGCCCUAGGGUUGUAAACUCCUUUUGUGCGGGAUGAGACAAGGACAGUACCGCACGAAUAAGUCACGGCUAACUAGGUGCCAGCAGCCGCGGUAACACCUAGGUGACAAGCGUUAUCCGGAUUUACUGGGCGUAAAGGGCUCGAAGGCGGCCGUUCUAGUCCGACGUGAAAUCUCCCGGCUUAACUGGGAGGGGUCGUUGGAUACUGUUCGGCUCGAGGCAGUGAGAGGAGUGUGGAAUUCUCGGUGGAGUGGUGGAAUACGUAGAUAUCGAGAGGAACACCAGUGGCGAAAGCGGCACUCUGGCACUGACCUGACGCUCAUGAGCGAAAGCGUGGGGAGCGAACGGGAUUAGAUACCCCCGUAGUCC